CAGUCGCCGCGGUAAUACGGAGGAUCCAAGCGUUAUCCGGAAUCAUUGGGUUUAAAGGGUCCGUAGGCGGUCUUGUAAGUCAGUGGUGAAAGCCCAUCGCUCAACGGUGGAACGGCCAUUGAUACUGCAGGACUUGAAUUAUUGGGAAGUAACUAGAAUAUGUAGUGUAGCGGUGAAAUGCUUAGAGAUUACAUGGAAUACCAAUUGCGAAGGCAGGUUACUACCAAUUGAUUGACGCUGAUGGACGAAAGCGUGGGUAGCGAACAGGAUUAGAUACCCCUGUAGUCCCUGUCUCUUAAAC
RNAcentral lists this ribosomal RNA (301 nucleotides) under uncultured bacterium. Its description in RNAcentral is "partial 16S ribosomal RNA". It matches the Rfam family "Bacterial small subunit ribosomal RNA", at positions 509 to 807 of the family's 1533-position model. The record is from RNAcentral.